CGCGCAGUCCCGCGCAAUGCACGCGCAGCCGUGUGCAAGGCGCGCAACACCCCCCUCCCUCCCCCCCUUCUAGUCCCCGUCCCCCCUCCCCUCCAAACACACACAUUCCGCUUCCCCGUGCAGCGCACACGCGGUGCCAGCGCCGGCAGCAGCGAAACUUUGCACCGUUACCGACCCCGCGUCCGGAGCGGCUGCUGGGCGGCAGUAAGAAGCUCGUGGGAAACUUCAGGAGACUUUUGUAAGAGCUUGUAAGCUCUUUGAAGCUGGAGACUUUUUAUAUCUUGGCAUUGGUUCGUUGCAGAUUACAGAGCUCUGAUGCAAUUAAAGGGACCCGUUUCCAGUCGUCUUAAGCAAAACUUGCAUUACUUGCAACAAGUGAGAAAUGUGUGCCGAGGCUCCAAGUCAGCAAACCGGUUCACAUGCUGCAGUUGCCGUAUCAGUUCCUAAAGCUGCUUGUAGGAAAUCACUCAGCCUAAAGAAACUCCUGGGAUCCCAGCCUCCACCAUCCCAUUUCAAAAUGCACGGAACUUGGAUGGCCUAAUGGGCAGGAACCUAAUUGCAAGAAGGCUCUGGAGGACGGUCAGUGCUGGAUGGGAGCUGCACCGUUAGCGUGUUACCCCCUCCCAAUAAAGGAGAAUCCAGGCUCUAAUCCAUACCCCCAAGACGCGCCAGCUCGCCGGGAACCAAAGCACGCCCACACUCGAGUUGGAGACUUCUGUGCUCAGACAAGGAGGAUUACGGACAUCAUAUGACUAAUUCUGCAAUGACGGUAUAUGCUUAAUUGGUAAAGGACUGCAUUUUCUAUCUUUUUUUAACCCAGGACAUAGCGUCAAAGGUCUGCCUAAUGCUUGAGGUUCCUUUCAGGUAUUUUCUUCAUUGAGGUUCACUGUACUGAAGGUUACUGUGGCUGCUGGCUUUGUCUUGUACCUUUGAGCACUACUGUGCUUUUUAGUGAUGAGAAACCAGCAUUCAAAUUCCCCUGAAACACCAGGUUCUGCUGCUCUCACAGCUCACAGAGUGAUUUCCCUGAACCUCAGGUACAGAAGCUCCAGCUGUUGCAAAAGCCAGUGGACAGGAGUCAGGAAAAGCAGAGUAAAUGGACUAUGAUACCAAACCGUAGACAUUCAUUUUAAUGUCCUACUUUCAAUCUCUCUGCCUCAGUUUCCCUGUAAAAAACAAAUACAGUCAUUUCACUAUUGGUGGUGCUUAGCUCCUAAAAAAAAUAAGUAUCUCUCUAACUUCCAAGAGCACAUUUUACAGCAAGUUCAAGUCAAUGCAUCUUAAAUUUGGUGGAAGGAAGAUGUUUCUACCAGCUGAUGGUACUUAACCAUUCAAACAGAUUACCAGGUGCCACAACAGCAAAAUCCCUUCUGCUUGAAGUGUUCGAGACUGCCUGGAUGUCUGUCAGGAAAAUGUACUCCCAAGUUGGUGAUAGCAAUACCAGAAUCACUUCUUGGUGACAAUCAUAGUGGCUGUGACAGCCUUCAGUAAUGGGAAUCUAUUAAUCUCGUGUUCUGUGCCCGUAAAGCACUCUGUCCUCCUUCCAUUAAAAGCUGAAGUUGCCACUGAAAUCAUUGGAAUUCAUCACUUCAGCGUUUGGGAAGACCUGCCACAAUAGCAAUCCCCUGUUUGCAAUCGAGGAGAUGGCAAGAGCAAUCACAUGCAUAGGUAGCUGAUGUGCAGCUCUGAGGACUGUAGUGGUACAGAAACAAGCUGAGAAAUAAGUGUGCCAUAACUGUAGAAUUUGGUUAUUUUAGAGCAUUAAAAAUCCAGCCUUUCUUUGUCAAGGAAACACUGCACAUGAACAGAGCUUUUCUGUGUGGAAUAUUGCAAAGAAAUCUCAGUUAUGUUUAGUGUUAGAAUGGCACAAAGGAAAUCUCAUUAGAACUCACCAACAAUGAUCUGUUAUAAGGGAACAGGAGCAAUUUGUGAGCUUUCGGAAAAAUAGAGUGUGUCUCUGUUCUGCCCCUGUCCUCACUGUCUGCUGUUACUCUAGGACACCGAUUUCUUGAGAGAAGGAUCUGCUCCUUCUUGCUCACGUUGCUCUUAUACAUCACGUUUUAUUUGCUAGGAGACUUGAACGACAAGCAACAGACUCUCUUGUUCCUAUUUUAAACAUGGAAACGGCAGUACAGCGAAAUAAAAUGACUUGUACAGGGUCACAGAACAAUUUUGUGGCAGGGCUAGGACCAGAACCCAGCUCCCUUGCUCCCAAAACUGUUUGCCAGCCUUCAGCUCUUCAUUGACCCUUAAUUUUAAUCACCAUCCAAGGAUAUCUGUUGGCCUCUUCCAAUUGACUUCCAUGGGAGUAAUGGCAGGUAUCAAAUGAAGUCACUGGGAAUAUCAAUGCAAAAGAAGCCAAUAUUAAAUGCAAAGAAAGAACCGAUGGAAAUGAAAAAAUAGAUUUUACAAAAAAAAGGAAUAAGUUCUAGUGCCUCUUCCAUAAUAUCAUUCCCCCUUUAAUUUGUGCCUGGUCAAAAUUAAAAAAAAAUAGAUUGCUAAUAUUAAUAGAUGAAAUGAAUCUUGAAUUUUAUAAUAGUGGAGGAAAUGAAAGGAUCCAAGUAAUAUUGUGUUGUUAACUGAGAUUUUAAUAAUGAUUCUGUCCUCAGUUGGUGCAUUUAUUCCACAGAAAGUAAAUCAUUAAUGAAGAAGGGUAAAAACAGUUUUAUGGUGAUGGAUUUUUGAAAGAAAAGUUUAAUUUUGCUUAACUUCUGGAAACUCUGGAAUAUGACUGGAGCUCUAAAACUAAAAGGCAAACACCUCAAAACCAGUCCACUAAGACGGGAUUUAGCUGAGUGGCUAACACAGCCUGGGGGAGGAUGGAGCACUGUUCUUGGCUUCUCUCUGAGAGAGCAGAGGUGAGUGGAAGAGGUGUUAGAGAUGUUGUUUUUGAUGGAGAAAGGGAGGUUUGAAGGUUUGCUUUUGAAAUAAUAGAAUCGUAGAAUAGUUUGCGUUGGAAGGGACCUCCAAAGCUCAUCCAGUGCCACCCCUGCCUUGAGCAGGGACAUCUUCACCAGCUCAGGUUGCUCAGAGCCCCAUCCAGCCUGGCCUGGGAUGUCUCCAGGAAUGGUUCAUCCACCACCUCUCUGGGCAACCUGGGACAGGGUUUCACCACCCACAGCAUAAAAAAUUUCUUCCUCAUGUCUGGCCUGAAUCUCCUCUCUUCUAGGUUAAAACCUUCACUCCUUGUCCUAUUGCAACAUGGCCUACUAAAAAGUCUGUUGCCAUCUUUCUUAUAGGCCCCUUUUAAUUACAGAAAGGCCACAAUAAGUCUCCUUGGAGACUUCUCUUCUCCCGGCUGAACAACCCUAACUCUCUCAGCCUGUCCUCAUAAGAGAGAUGUUUCAGCCCUCGUAUCAUCUUGUUGGACUCCUCUGGCCCCUCUCCAACAGGUCUGUUGGUUGGUUGUAUUCUCAUAGCUAUUUCCGAAUUGCAUCUGGAGAGCAGUAAGGACAUCAUCCUAAAACAAGGGGGAUCUAACAACGCUCAUCCUAUGGUCUCUGUGAACUUUUGCAAGAUCUGCUUCCACCAUGUCUUCUGCAGGGGAUGGGUGUAUUCAAACCACUCUCAGUGCUGUGAGGGUGUUUGAAUUCCCAGGUGAAGAGCAAGCCCACCAGGGCUGGUGUGUCCAAUGGUGGCUCUUGACCUACCCCGCACUAUCUUCAACCACCUCCAAGGAGUCUCAUAAAAAAGGGCUUCCUGGCGCCCAUUUCACACCAACCCCUUUGGCUGAAAAUGUCGAGCACAGGGAGAAUCAUGAUCUCAGAGCAGUGAAGAAGAAAAGCAUCUCUGUAGCUGGGGUUCGCUGCCCAAGAAAAAAGCAAAUAUGGAACAUACACGUCUGUAUGUGCACAGAAGAGAAGGGAGAAAAGACAGAAUUCCCCUGAUUCCUUAAUGAGCAUAGCAACCCAACAAUGAAUGUAGAAAUUUGCAAAUUAAACAACAUUUUUGUAUUUAAAUUACCAAAUCAAUAAAGAGAUGUAAACAUUAAACAACAUUAUAUGAGAGCCUGGAGUGUCACCACAAAAAUUAAGAGUAUGUAAUUAAAAGUACAAUGCAAUUUA
Long non-coding RNA from Columba livia (rock pigeon), 4064 nucleotides. RefSeq lists it as uncharacterized. The transcript has 5 exons. The record is from RefSeq and is a predicted model, not a curated record. Lineage: Eukaryota; Metazoa; Chordata; Aves; Columbiformes; Columbidae.